AGCUUGCUCUGGGAAAGAACUAGUGAGAUGAGAUCAAAUCUAUCUAUCGUGCCUGUAGCUGUAGAGAAAAGCUCAGAGUAGGAAAGGCAACUGCUGGGAAGAAAGUAAGUAAGAAAAGCUGUUCAGGUAGGAAGGCCGGAGAGAGAGCCUGAUAAAGCAAAGAAGAGACUGGAGACCCAGAGGGGAAGUAAAGAGUAAGGCCUUGUAUUGCUUAUCCCUUGAAAAAUGUGACUUCUGUAGAAUUGUGGCAAAAUAUGGACUGUCCUUGUGAUGGAAAAGCUUUACAUCAAGAAUGGAAGCAAGAGAAGUGCCCCAAAGAGGAAGUCUGGGAAUCCCAGCGUGAGGUGACAUGAGAGCUCCAGGCACAAACUAAUCAAGACUGUAUGCAGCAGCCGCUGCAGGUAGCAAGACUCUGAAGAAAUGGCCCUCCUGCAAUUAAGAAAUCCUUGUUUUCUGAGAGACAGGUGAUUACCCUAAUAGAACUGUGCCCACUGGGUAGCAGAAUGCAGCUGUGUGGAGUGGGUUAAAAUUCAUGUCAGACUCCAUGACCUCUUGGGAGAGUUUACUAAUGCAUCUGAAAAGAAGUUAUUCAAAAGUGAAUGAAAGAACCUGGGGGAUUGGUGAAUGGCUAACAUUUAUAUAGUGCUUUUCAUCCAAAGGUCCCAGAGUGCUCAGCAAAUUUACAAACUGCAUGUGUACACAGAGCUCACCUCAGCCCACGUGCUGUGGGGUAGAUUGUGGCAAACUUUAAAGAGUGCACAGUAACAUUUUUCUAUCUAGUUUAUUUAUAAAAGGUCACUAUGGAGCCUGGGUUGCUAUGGCCUUAGCAUUGUUGCAGAGAACAAUUUUCCUGAAGGGGGGAAUCUGAGGUAGUUGUAGUGAAAUCCAUUAUGGCUUUAUACAUUGCGUUCAGGACAUCAGCUGUACCAGUGUAAAUUAGAGCAGUUUGUUUAAAUGUGGCUGCCAGCAAUAACCCUGAGGAGCUGUUCUAGAAGCCAAAGAUAGCCAGACUGCAGCAGUGCCAGAGCUUUUAAACCAUUCAAAAAUCUGCUAGAAUUAUUCUCCAGAGUCUGUAUCUCCUAACUUUUUGCUUCCAUUACAUCAUUGGAGCAGCAUAAAGGGGCUGUAACACAAUGUAUAGUUAGGCCCUGUGUGUCUGUCUGACUUAAGUUAGAAGGAAAGGUCCAAGGAGCAGGGACUGAAGUGCCAUCUGUAUUUUGUACAGUACCGACCACACUGACAGUACUUACUGCUGGAUGUGUGCACCCACACAAAAUAGUAUCAAUCUCAAAGGUACUAACUGUAUAGAGAGAGUGACUAAAACUUUUUUACAGGUACCUAUGAACAAAGAUGUCUAGAAGAUGGUUAAGCUCAUGUAGAGAAAUACAUUGUACCAGUAUGGUCCUAUUGGGUGAUUAGGCUAAUAGAGAAACUUCUUAAGUGUAGAUCAACAAGAAGUGAUGAUACUUAUGGUUGAUUUCACUAUUGCAUAGUUUAUCUCAUAACUGCACACCACAAUAAAAGACUAAGCUAAAUAAUGUAGUAAA
Long non-coding RNA from Dermochelys coriacea (leatherback sea turtle), 1547 nucleotides. RefSeq lists it as uncharacterized. Lineage: Eukaryota; Metazoa; Chordata; Testudines; Dermochelyidae. The record is from RefSeq and is a predicted model, not a curated record. The transcript has 3 exons.